UCAGGCCUAACACAUGCAAGUCGUACGAGAGUUUUUAACUCUAGUGGCGGACGGGUGAGUAACACGUGAGAAUUUGCCUUUAGGAGGGGGACAACAAUUGGAAACGAAUGCUAAUACCCCAUAUGCUUUAGAGUGAAAUGGAUUUUAUCCGCCUAGAGAGAAGCUCGCGGCUGAUUAGCUUGUUGGUAAGGUAAGAGCUUACCAAGGCGACGAUCAGUAUCUGGUUUGAGAGGACGAUCAGACACACUGGAACUGAGACACGGUCCAGACUCCUACGGGAGGCAGCAGUGGGGAAUUUU
This 299-nucleotide ribosomal RNA is filed under the name uncultured bacterium. Its description in RNAcentral is "partial 16S ribosomal RNA". It matches the Rfam family "Bacterial small subunit ribosomal RNA", at positions 43 to 365 of the family's 1533-position model. The record is from RNAcentral.